GGGAUAAACGCUGGCGGCGUGCCUAACACAUGCAAGUCGAACGUCUCUUCUUUCGGGAAGAGGAGUGGCGGACGGGUGAGGAACACGUGGGAACCUGCCCUUUAGUGAGGAAUACCGGCGAGAAAUCGCCGACAAGACCGCAUAGCCCUCUUUGACGAGAGUCAAAGAAGGAAAGCUUCGCAAGAGGCGCUAAAGGAGGGGCCUGCGUCCGAUUAGCUAGUUGGUGGGGUAAGAGCCUACCAAGGCGUCGAUCGGUAGCUGGUCUGAGAGGACGAUCAGCCACACUGGGAUUGAGAACGGCCCAGACUCCUACGGGGGGCAGCAGUGAGGAAUUUUCGGCAAUGGGGGAAACCCUGACCGAGCAACGCCGCGUGCAGGAAGACGGCCUUCGGGUUGUAAACUGCUUUCUUUGGGUACGAGAACGGACGGUACCAGAGGAAUCAGCCCCGGCUCACUACGUGCCAGCAGCCGC
Molecule: ribosomal RNA, 472 nt
Filed under: uncultured bacterium
Lineage: Bacteria
Description: SSU rRNA
Rfam family: Bacterial small subunit ribosomal RNA
Source: RNAcentral